This 424-nucleotide ribosomal RNA is filed under the name Halomonas sp. S2-5. RNAcentral's name for it is "bacterial LSU rRNA". It matches the Rfam family "Bacterial large subunit ribosomal RNA", at positions 1 to 474 of the family's 2925-position model. RNAcentral also lists the same sequence under 1 other name. Lineage: Bacteria; Pseudomonadati; Pseudomonadota; Gammaproteobacteria; Oceanospirillales; Halomonadaceae. The record is from RNAcentral.
GGUCAAGCGAUGAAGCGCAUACGGUGGAUGCCUAGGCAGCCAGAGGCGAUGAAGGACGUUGUAGCCUGCGAAAAGGCUCGGUGAGGUGGCAAACAACCUGUGACCCGGGCAUGUCCGAAUGGGGAAACCCACUCAUCACAAGAUGAGUAUCCCGUACUGAAUUCAUAGGUGCGGGAGGCGAACCGGGGGAACUGAAACAUCUAAGUACCCCGAGGAAAAGAAAUCAACCGAGAUUCCCUCAGUAGCGGCGAGCGAACGGGGACCAGCCCUUAAGUCAAUGCACGGUUAGGUGAACGGCCUGGAAAGGCCGGCCAUAGUGGGUGAUAGCCCCGUAACCGAAAACCCGCAUUGGUGAAAUCGAGUAGGUCGGGGCACGUGAAACCUUGACUGAAGACGGGGGGACCAUCCUCCAAGGCUAAAUACU